Anopheles arabiensis is the source of this 1209-nucleotide long non-coding RNA. RefSeq lists it as uncharacterized. The record is from RefSeq and is a predicted model, not a curated record. NCBI's taxonomy places the organism in Eukaryota, Metazoa, Arthropoda, Insecta, Diptera, Culicidae. The transcript is spliced from 2 exons.
GAGAGAGAGAGAGAGAGAGAGAACCGAAAUUCUUUGAUGAUCAGGAAACUAAUUCUGAACUAUUACCAGCAGUGGAUCCUUCACCCAUCCCGGGUUUUCGAAUUGAUCCUGACCUCAUACAGAUUCUGGAAUAUAUCCUAGCCCUGUAUCGGUCCUGGAACUGAUACUGAAUUCAUAUUGGUUCUGAAAUAGAUCCUGAACCCAUACCCGUCCUGGAACCGAUGUUGAACCUAUGCUGGUAUUCGGACUGAUCCUGAACUCAUACAUAUCCUGGAAUUGAUUCCCAAUCCAUAUCGGUCCUGGAAGGAAUAUUUAACUCAUACUGGUUCUGGAAUUCUGACCCUAGUCGGGCAUGGAACAGAUUCUGAACACUCUAAACCCUUUCAGGACCUGAACCUCAUCCUGAAUCCAUGCAGGUCAUGGCAUAUAUCAAGACCCUAUAAAGAUCAUGGAUCUGAUUCCCAACCCAUACCUGUCCUGGAACUGAUCAUGAACCUAUAUUUAAUCUUAAACUCGUACAGAUUAUGGAUCUUAUGAAGAACUUUUAUUGGUCUUGAAUCUAGUCCUAAUCCAAUACCGGUCCUGGAACUGAUGCUGAACCCAUCUCGGCAUUCGGACUGAUCCUGGACUCACACAUAUCCUGGAAUAUGUCCUUACCCUAUACCUAUCCUGGAAUUGAUUCGCAACCCAUACCGCUCGUGGAACUGAUAUUGAACUCAGGAGUGUGGAAUAGAUACUGAAUCGAUAUCAUGCGUAGAAUAGCUUCUCAACACAUCUUUGGGCUUCAAAUUGAUGCUGAACUUUCCCUUCAUUUACAUUUCCUUCUUAGGCUACAUUUAAUCCUCAACUCGUACAGAUUCUGGAUCUUCUAAAGAACUCAUAAUGGUUUUGCAACUGGUCCCAAACCCAUAUAGAUCCUAGAACUAAUCGAAAUCCUAUACUGUCUAUGGAACUGUUCUUGAAUCCAUAAUGGUCCCGGCAUCGUUUGUGAACUCUAAUCGAACCCGGUGCUGGAGCGGAUCGUAAAAGCAUACUGCCUCUGGUACUGUUCAUCAACCUUUACCGUAUGUUAUAGAACGAAAACUUUGCCAAGACACUAAGCUGUUACUCGACCCGAAUUGUUACUAAUUUGCGUUCAAGUACUAUCCCAAGCAAUUUAAUACCGUGUGAACCCUUUUCAAUAAAGUUUCUGAGGAUUUCAACGUUGGA